RNAcentral lists this ribosomal RNA (253 nucleotides) under uncultured bacterium. Its description in RNAcentral is "partial 16S ribosomal RNA". It matches the Rfam family "Bacterial small subunit ribosomal RNA", at positions 524 to 776 of the family's 1533-position model. The record is from RNAcentral.
UACAGAGGGUGCGAGCGUUAAUCGGAAUUACUGGGCGUAAAGGGCACGUAGGUGGUUAUAUAAGUCGUUAGUGAAAUGCCUGAGCUUAACUUAGGCCUGUCUGACGAAACUGUAUAGCUUGAGUUCUGUAGAGGGUAGUGGAAUUCCUGGUGUAGCGGUGAAAUGCGUAGAUAUCAGGAGGAACACCCGUGGCGAAGGCGGCUACCUGGACAGAAACUGACACUGAGGUGCGAAAGCGUGGGUAGCGAACAGG